Long non-coding RNA from Melanotaenia boesemani (Boeseman's rainbowfish), 296 nucleotides. RefSeq lists it as uncharacterized. The transcript has 3 exons. Lineage: Eukaryota; Metazoa; Chordata; Actinopteri; Atheriniformes; Melanotaeniidae. The record is from RefSeq and is a predicted model, not a curated record.
AAGACGGACAGCGAAGAGCAACAACCGGUGUGGACAUGUCGGAAGAUCGGCGACCAAAUGCCCAGGUGGACAAUUCUGCAGUUGUAAGGUCAGCAAGACAUCUAUUAAAUUUACUAACAAACUUGACCUCUGGACCUACCGGACCCAUAACCUCUGGACCUACCGGGCCCAUAACCUCUGGACCUACCAGGCCCAUAUUCUCGGGACCCACCAGUUGUAGGGACCAAACAGUCCAAAUUACUCCCAGACCUGGAACCAGUCAAGAGAGAGAGAUUAUCGGCCAAAUGUUCACACCG